This 670-nucleotide unclassified non-coding RNA is filed under the name Hevea brasiliensis (rubber tree). The record is from RNAcentral. Lineage: Eukaryota; Viridiplantae; Streptophyta; Magnoliopsida; Malpighiales; Euphorbiaceae.
AUGCUAAAAAAGAGAUUGAGCAUGCCCCAGUGGUUAGUGAUGAUCCUUAUCUGUAUGCCCCUAUUUUUCGGAAUAUUUCAGUUUUCAAAAGGAGCUAUGAGUUAAUGGAGCUGAUACUUAAAGUUUACAUCUAUCCUGAUGGGAAAAGGCCCAUCUUUCAUCAACCGCAUCUCCAGGGAAUUUAUGCUUCUGAAGGAUGGUUUAUGAAGUUCAUGGAGGAAAACAGACAGUUUCUCACAAGGGAUCCAGAAAAGGCUCAUUUAUUUUAUCUUCCAUACAGUGCACGCCAGCUGGGGAUGGCACUUUAUGUGCCUAACUCACAUAAUUUGAGACCAUUGUCAAUCUUCAUGAGAGAUUAUGCAAAUAUGCUUGCUGCAAAGUAUCCCUUUUGGAACCGCACACAUGGGAGAGAUCAUUUUCUUGUUGCCUGCCAUGACUGGGGUCCAUACACAUUGACUAUGCACACUGAACUAACAAAAAAUACCAUAAAAGCUCUAUGCAAUGCUGAUGCAUCCGAAGGUAUUUUUGAUACUAGCAAGGAUGUUUCUCUACCUGAAACGACAAUAAAGACUCCUAGGAGACCUCUUAGAAAUGUUGGUGGUGGGAUAAGAGUAUCAGAGCGUCCAAUCCUUGCCUUCUUUGCUGGAAAUAUGCAUGGUAGGGUCCGCCC